UCAGGUAGGAAUACCCGCUGAACUUAAGCAUAUCAU
RNAcentral lists this ribosomal RNA (36 nucleotides) under Exophiala alcalophila. Its description in RNAcentral is "partial 28S ribosomal RNA". Lineage: Eukaryota; Fungi; Ascomycota; Eurotiomycetes; Chaetothyriales; Herpotrichiellaceae. The record is from RNAcentral.